Long non-coding RNA from Sebastes umbrosus (honeycomb rockfish), 998 nucleotides. RefSeq lists it as uncharacterized. The transcript is spliced from 3 exons. The record is from RefSeq and is a predicted model, not a curated record. NCBI's taxonomy places the organism in Eukaryota, Metazoa, Chordata, Actinopteri, Perciformes, Sebastidae.
GAUUGUAAGGAAUGUUUGAGGAGAAAGGUGAAUGUAAUGGAAUGUAAUUAUGUGGCCAGCUGACUCUCUCUCACACACACACACACACACACACACACACACACAGUCUUAAAUAUACAAACAUGUUAUCAAAGAGAGACGCAGACUCGAAAAGUAAACGCACACAAACUCUGAAUGUGUGACGGGUGACUCACAAUCACGCCCCGCUGUCACAACACACACCUUCUUUUAUCAGAGACAUGGCAGAGGGCCAACACACUGUCGCAUUAACGCGCUGCACACACACACACACACACCAGCAGAACAGAUAGAUUCCCACCCGGCUGCAGAGAGGAGGGUACAGAUGAUGGAUGGAAAGACGACAGAGGAGAGGAGCAGACGGGAGGAAAGAAAAGAGGAGGAAGUCUGAGGGCUGAGUGAGGAGUAACACCACCAAAAGGCUCUGAAACCCUCAGGGAGUUCUUCUAUAUAACGGCAAUGUGAACGUCCACAAUAAGCACAAACACAGCUCGACGUUCGUAGCUAUAUCAUGAAAAGUAAUGCACUGUAAUUCGUAUAUAUCCCAAGGAAUCAAUUUGUAUUUAAUCCACGUGAACCAGGAAGUAUAAAGAGAGGUGUCAAAAAACACCAGACUUUCACCAGGAGACCGCUGUUUAUGUCCCGUGUGAAACCAGAAGUCAACGUUGAUUUACUUGUCACGUAACUCCUGUACUAAAGUAACGCUACUUCAGUAGUUAUUUUAAACCAAACCGCCAUCUUUUCCUAAACCUAACUAAGUAGUUUUGUUGUCUAAACCUAACUGAGUAGUUUUGUUGUCUAAACCUAACUGAGUUGUUUCCUGUGAAGACGGAAGUUUAUUUUGAAAAGACUGUAUGCACGUAACAAGCAGAAAUUGACCCGUGUUGCUGGACCUUCGUAGGAGAACGCACAAAAAACGAUUAAUAACUUUUAGUAAGAUGUCAUACUAACCGUUGUAAGAGGAUAAGUGUAUCUUUGUG